This 496-nucleotide ribosomal RNA is filed under the name uncultured bacterium. Its description in RNAcentral is "partial 16S ribosomal RNA". It matches the Rfam family "Bacterial small subunit ribosomal RNA", at positions 29 to 507 of the family's 1533-position model. The record is from RNAcentral.
AUGAACGCUGGCGGCGUGCCUAAUACCUGCAAGUCGAGCGAACAGAUGAGGAGCUUGCUCCUCUGACGUUAGCGGCGGACGGGUGAGUAACACGUGGAUAACCUACCUAUAAGACUGGGAUAACUUCGGGAAACCGGAGCUAAUACCGGAUAAUAUAUUGAACCGCAUGGUUCAAUAGUGAAAGACGGUUUUGCUGUCACUUAUAGAUGGAUCCGCGCCGCAUUAGCUAGUUGGUAAGGUAACGGCUUACCAAGGCAACGAUGCGUAGCCGACCUGAGAGGGUGAUCGGCCACACUGGAACUGAGACACGGUCCAGACCCCUACGGGAGGCAGCAGUAGGGAAUCUUCCGCAAUGGGCGAAAGCCUGACGGAGCAACGCCGCGUGAGUGAUGAAGGUCUUCGGAUCGUAAAACUCUGUUAUUAGGGAAGAACAAAUGUGUAAGUAACUAUGCACGUCUUGACGGUACCUAAUCAGAAAGCCACGGCUAACUACGUG